Molecule: long non-coding RNA, 242 nt
Filed under: Dromaius novaehollandiae (emu)
Lineage: Eukaryota; Metazoa; Chordata; Aves; Casuariiformes; Dromaiidae
Description: lncRNA (ENSDNVG00000008705.1)
Source: RNAcentral
ACUAUAUGGAGUAGAUCAUUAUGUAGAAGUCUCUGAUAGGGAUGCUGUCUUCAAAAAAGAAAGAAACUUUGAUAAGAAAACUUUCCCAGCAACCCAUUCAAAAGAGAAGACCUCAAUGAUUCGUAUACUCCUAUAUGAAAAAAAUAAGAAAAAGAACAUGUUCUAUACAGUUUCAUAAGAAUGCCUGGGCACAGCAGCCAUGUGUUUAAGAAAACUAGGAGAGCAACAAAUUAGUGCAGAAC